Long non-coding RNA from Cavia porcellus (domestic guinea pig), 4551 nucleotides. RefSeq lists it as uncharacterized. The record is from RefSeq and is a predicted model, not a curated record. The transcript is spliced from 2 exons. Lineage: Eukaryota; Metazoa; Chordata; Mammalia; Rodentia; Caviidae.
AAGAAGAAGAAAGAAGAAGAAGAAGAAGAAGAAGAAGAAGAAGAAGAAGAAGAAGAAAGAAGAAGAAGAAGAAGAAGAAGAAGAAGAAGAAGAAGAAGAAGAAGAAGAAGAAGGAGAAUGAACUCAGUUGUAACUGAUGUGGUGUGCUUUCUGGGGAGAUCCUUCGAUACCCAGGAGAGGGAAGACUCUGCAACGCUUAGAGUAAACUUGGUCUAUAAAAGUAUACUUGAAAUACAUAAAAGUAAUUCCCACUGUGGCUUUCAUCUACCUAAUAAGAGACAAAGGUCCAUAAGCUCCCAAAGGUCUCACAAAUUCGUCCUUGUCAUCCACGGAAGCUCUGGAGUGUUCUGGCCGGCCUGCUGUCGGCUGCCCACAGCCCUGCGCUUAGGGAAUUUUGGCCUGUGUAGCCGGCGCUGGCCAGAUUCAUGCAAGCUCAGGCCGGGAAAACACAGAGCCAGAUGCUUGCAAACCGUCAUUCUCCUGUUUGGGCUCCAGGAGCUGGGGACGCACCUCGGAGGAAGCCUGCAAGAAAAAUACUGACGGUCUGCUGCAAUGUCCUUUCCCUGGAGGUGUUAUGAGCUUGUUCCUGGACCCUCUUCCCGCCAAAGGACCCUAAAUCCAGCAUUUCACAGCAUCGCCUGAUUUAACCCGCUAGCAAGUGCAGACAAAGGAACCGUUGUUUUACAGAGGAGAAAGCCAAGGCUUAGAGAGGUUAGGUAAGUUGUUCACGGCCACAGAGCUAGUGAAUAGGGGGCAGCAGCCUGUGUGCCUAUCCUCUACUAAGUCAACAAGAACCGUGGUACCGCACAUCUUGGUGUGUCACGUUCGGAGGAAGAAGGGAUGGCCUGAGAGGUCUCCAAGGGCAGAACCAGAGUGGGGUUUGGAUGCUGCACUGGCCGCUGAAGGGGCUUCUGGUGGCCGCCAGAGGGCGCUCUGCCCACACAUUAGAGGCUGAAUCCGGCUAACCCCAAGGGCUGCAAAUUGUUAGAGAGAAACAACAGAUUCACUUUAGCAGAGGGCAUUUGUAUAAAUUCCAUUAAGGAUCUUACAAUAAAGGGAGCUGAAUUAGAAUUGCUGAGAAACUCUGCUGGGGAAAUCACUGCUUGGGGCUGUCGUGUGGUGGGUUUCAGAGAAUCCGAGCUGGGGAGCUGGUUACUGAAGGAGAAGGACCAUCACGCUGUCCCUCAGGAUGCCAUGAUGUGAGCAGCUUUACAUCCACUGUGCCCCUCUGCGAUGCCAUUUCUACCUUGAUGCCUGCUGAUAAUACUCUGAAUCCUCUGAAAACUGUGAACCAAAAAUAAACGUCUCCUCCUUGAAGUUGUGGGUUUUGGGCAUUGUGUCUCUGUGAUGAGAAAGGUGACUGAGACAUUAUCACAAUAUGGCAACAAACUGGGAACACUCAUAAAUAUUUUGGAAUCUUUUUCCUACAACUCUGCAAAGGACACAGUUUGGUCCUACUCCCUUGUGUGAUAAGCAUUUGGGAGGUUGGUAUGUUUGCAUGAAGUCACAAAUGUGGAGCCUUCAUGAUGGGCUUCAGGCUCUUCUGAGAAGAGGCACCCGUGAAUUUACUCUCCUCCUUUCUCUCUGCCAUGUGAGGACACAGCAAUGAAGUAAUCAUCUGCAAGCCAGAAAAAGAGUCCGCAACAGUACUAAAGCAUGUGGGUACCUCUAUCAAGAACUUUAAACUUCCACAACUGAAAAAAAGGGGAUUUCUAUUGUCUAAGCUUCUUAGUAUGUGACAUUUUGUGGCUAUAUAUAUAUACAUAUAUAUCCAUACAGAAUAAGUAAUAAGAUUAACUGAAAAAAGUUUCAAUGAAUACAGGUAAAAUUACUUACUUUGAAGGACUUAUAACGUUCAUCAUUUAACACAGCAUUAACUUCAGAACUUUCUCCAUCUUCAAUAAUUUCCUAUGUAGGUGGUUGAAAAAUAUUUCAAAUUAGUGACAUUGGAGAAUUCUAACCUGAGACUAUCAAAUUUAUAGAUCUAGUAGUUUGAUUUCUUAUGAAUUGCAUAUCCAUUGCCUGCAGAAUGUUUUCCUACCUAAUUUAGAGAAAAUAAGAAUUUCCCUAUAAUUUAAAGUCCUAGGUCAUCAUAUGAUUAAUGACCCCUUUAUAAUCUUCAGGGGCAAGAAUGCAGAAUGAUUAGGGCACAAAUCUACAGAACCCCCAUACAAAAAAUAUUCACUGGCAAAUGUGUGCCCAAAUAGUUCUGAUAAUUUUCUUUUCAAUGAUUGUUCUCUGUUUGAAAUAAGAGAACAUUUCCACUGAGCAAGUUAUCUUGAGAUCUUCUAAAAAGUUACUCUACAUUAGGUCCUUAGGAUGUUUACCAGAUAGAAUUUCCCUUGAAUAAUGUACCUUGGCCUUGAAUACUAAGAUUACUAUCAGAUUACCAACUUGUCUUGCUGGGGAGUCUUAACCAUAAUUAAGGUACAUAAAAUCACUUUAGCUAUCUUUCUGGAACACACAGAAAUGCAAAAUCAAUGUCAUUUAAUGUCACACCCAACACUCUUCUGGAGGGGAUAAACCCCGAGCAGAACUGUGCUCUUCCCUAAAACCUGUUUUGGAAAUCAGCCUUUCCCCUGCUGCAGAGUUCUCAGGCCACUUGAGCCUUUCUUUCUCUUUAGGCAGAAGCGGUAUGGGAGAGACGGGAGAGCUCUUCUAGUUCCACUAGGUGGCCUCAUGCAGCAUGCAGCUUUAGGUGUGGUAAUGCUAGGGUAUGGAUUAUACAUAUCUCAGGUAGAUGGGGGGAGAGUGGGAGAGACACAGAGAGAGAUACUGUGUAGAUGUGGAGACUGGGAGAUACAGACAGAGAGAAUAAGUUGUGAAUACCAUAUCUACACAGCUGACAGGAAGAUGUGUUAUUAGCUCCCUCCUCCUCCCCAUUCCGCCUUACCUCUAUAAUACACUUCACCCUGUCUCCCAGGCAGGGAAUGCCCUCUGUGUCCUUCAUACUGAUGAUGGUGAAUGGCAGAGAUUUCAGUACGGAGGCUGCUCUAAUAUAUGUCACAUAAGAGUCUUCAUUCUCUUUAAACUCACAAUUUUCAGCCAGUAUCUCAAAGGCAUUCUGCAGAAUCAAACCAGAUAGACAAAAGUCCUUGAAAUAGUGUCAUUCAAAAAUGCCUCUUGUAUUCUUUUACAUUUCGGACAGUUUCCUUGAAGGUCAAGAUUGAGCCUCCUGUUCCCCUGUACCUUCCCGUGUGAGAUCAAGGGAGCUGCACUGAAACAACAGGCACCAAAUGCAUUCUAAGGAAACUGAGUUCUGUGCUGUUAGAUAUUCCAGAAUAAUUAGCCAAAAAAGACACCUUUGCUCACCAUAUCCCACUAGUCACACUUGGCAUAACCUCUCCCGCUGCUGUGUGCCUCACUGACCUGUGGUUAGGGCUCUGCUGUUAUCACUAGAUAUCCUUGUCUCUUUCAGUAUGACCAGCACUUAAAUUGAAUGAGUGGAUAUGCUCCUGGGUCACACCACCUUAGAGCUUGGGUUAUUUAAGGUGGGGCAUGUUUACACUGCUGCCAGAAGAGCUAGCAGCUGCAACUUUGGGACACCAUGCUCAGGAGCCCAAAAGCUUCAGAUUCCUGGUCUUCCUCACAGGUAUGGGCCUGGAAGUCUAGAAGUGAGAAGUUUGAUACACUACUGCAUUUUUUAUCUAGGUUAGAACAUAGCACUUAUGGUUUGCAUAGCAUUGACUGCUAGUAUAGCAUUUAUGGUUUGUUCAGCUCAUCUGAAAAAUUUGGGGGCUGGAUAAGGCUUUAGAGAUAAUCAGGCUCAUUUCUUAUUGCACAGAUGAGGUAACUGAGGCUAGGAGAGAGGAACUGACUUGCCCAGGUUAGCUAAUGUCAGGUAAAAAUGUACAUCCGCAGACUCUUCAUCUUUUGGCUUCCUGCAAAGGCUGGUGAUACGUUAUUGAUAUUUCCAUGUAAUUUACUCUAACUAUGUUUUGGAGUAAUUACAAAAUUUGAUUUUUAAGAAUAUUUGCCUUUGAUAAGUAUGUAUCCAUUGACAACUUUCAGUAAUCAAGACCCUAAAGAAUACAGCUCAAAUGUAUUCUUUCAUUUCCAUGGAAGAAAAAGACCUAUUCUUGUCAGAAAGGAGAAAUCUUUUCCAGAUUUCCAGAAAAAUCAUGAUUUAGUUUAUAGAUGCAGAGAAAACACUUGCACACCCUUCCUCUGCUCCAGGUGCUGAAGCAAAGCCUUGUUACCGUGAAUGCGUAGUUGCAGUUGUUUAAUGUGGUUCUCCUCUGACACGCGUACUCAGAGAUCCUCUGCACAGAGCGUGAUGGAGUCUUCUGGGCAUCUGGGUUGGGGCUAGCUGGACUGCCUCUUCUUACCUAGACAAGAGCACACUCAUCUAUUUUAAAGAACAAUGGUAAUAAUAGUGCGUAUAUAGAGAGAAAAUAAUUGGAGACUGUUUGAUGGUGGUUGUCUCUGGAGGAAGAAUAAAAUUACCAGAGACUCAAAUUUCAUGCUAUAUACACUUCUAAUAUUUGUAUUUGAUAUCAUUACUGUGCAUUGUUUGUGAAAUCAGAAAAUAAAACCAUGACAAAGAACCAA